UCCGUCCAGUCCUAAGGCAUUAAGCCAAAUAAUUUGUGUUCGAGUAAAAUGUGCCUACAACACUCUCGUGGUCCUGCGGGUUUCAAGAGGCGGAGAUUUUGCUCUUGUCCCGAAGAGUUUGUUGUAGCAGUUAACCCUUGGUUAAGGGAUGAGCCUCGUUUCCAUGACACGUUGCCCCUUGUUUAAAUCACUCCCAAAUGCCAGGCUUUUAUUUUGGAACCCACCAGUCCCGUUGUUGCAACUGUGGCCACCUCGGCUUUCCCCUUCCUUUCACGCAGGUUCGUGCCUGGUGUUAGCCCGGAUGAGAGCCCGGCUCCUCCUCGGGCUGCCUGCGGUCUCCUGAAGCAUCCAAACCCUCAGUCAGCUUGCCUGGUGACUGCCACAGGGAAGAGUCCCAGCUCUUCCCGCUGGGGCAAUGCUGUUGGCGGGCACACCGCAGCACGAUGAAGCCACCCCCCCUGCAGAGGAGCAGGUUCCAAGCUGCUGGCGCCGGCCCGAGACGUGGGGGCCACGCUCCCUGCCGGCACCGCUGACCCCGGCAGGGCCGGCCCCGGUGACGCCGGUCCCCUCCGAGCGACGCGCCACCACAUCUGAGCGCCAGGCAACCGGUUUUGUCACUUGCUUUGAGACGCGUCCUGCCUGGUCUCUCUUGUUUCAUUAC
This is a non-coding RNA of Agelaius phoeniceus (red-winged blackbird), 661 nucleotides long. The record is from RefSeq and is a predicted model, not a curated record. NCBI's taxonomy places the organism in Eukaryota, Metazoa, Chordata, Aves, Passeriformes, Icteridae.